Molecule: ribosomal RNA, 251 nt
Filed under: uncultured bacterium
Lineage: Bacteria
Description: partial 16S rRNA
Rfam family: Bacterial small subunit ribosomal RNA
Source: RNAcentral
GUGUCAGCCGCCGCGGUAAUACGUAGGUGGCAAGCGUUGUCCGGAAUUACUGGGCGUAAAGGGUGCGCAGGCGGACAUUUAAGUGAGAUGUGAAAGACCCGGGCUUAACUUGGGCAGUGCAUUUCAAACUGGAUGUCUGGAGUGCAGGAGAGGAGAACGGAAUUCCUAGUGUAGCGGAGAAAUGCGUAGAGAUGAGGAAGAACACCAGUGGCGAAGGCGGUUCUCUGGGCUGUAACUGACGCGGAGGCACG